Molecule: long non-coding RNA, 1016 nt
Filed under: Vulpes vulpes (red fox)
Lineage: Eukaryota; Metazoa; Chordata; Mammalia; Carnivora; Canidae
Description: lncRNA (ENSVVUG00000020475.1)
Source: RNAcentral
AAAGCAGAAGCCUUUGGGUUAUUUCUAUUUAUCUAUUUCCUGAUUAAUCUUAUUUACUGGCUAAAUAAUAAUAAAAUUAUGACCAAAUAUUUAAUAUUUUAUCUGUAACAUCCAAAGUUUGUCAUGAAAUCAAUAUAACAUUUCAGAUGCGACCCAGUUACAGAGCACGGCACUACUUUUCCUUCUCCAUAUGAACAAAUAAACCUGAAUUGUACAAAAUCCAGUAAGACUUCUUAUUUCUUGGAAGAAAGACAUCGAUAUUCUUGGAACUGAGGGUAUUAAGUCUUUUCUGGCCAGUAUAUACAUCAGCUCCUAACAGUGGAUCAUUAAGGAUUAAGGAUUAAUUUAAUCAUUAAGGAUUAAAAAUUUGUUCCUGUAAAUGUUUCAGUUGUCCCGUCAACGAUCAAGUCAGAUGAUCCAAAGGCUGAUAAAGUGCCGAGUCUCAUAUGAAAUUUUUACUCUGAACAAAACUACACAAAAUAUAUCUAGAACAACCAGAGACAGUCAUGGAUUUUUAUUGCCAAAAAAAUAUUACCCACAUUUUCACUCUACUUCCGUGUGCCUCUUCUGAUUUAUUACCUACCCUUCUCAUCUCACCUUCUCAGACAAGUUGACUUGCACCAGUUGACAACUUUGCCCUCUCACCUUCCUUGUUUUUGACCAAUGGAUGGCAUCAGAAGACAGGGCAAAUGGAUGAGGCAUGUAUUUCCUAGUUUCUUCCUGAGGCAGCCUGCAUCUAUGACUUGGGGACGAGAUUAUGGAAAUAGAGGCAACUCUGCAGUUCAACAUUUCUUAAAGAUCCCAUCAGGACAUCCUGAGUGGCUGCUGCAGCUCUGUCUGGAAAUGGUAUGUACCUGCCAUCAGAAUGAAGCCACAUGGUCUUUGCUUCUUCACAUCACUAACUUGCCAUUCAGAUCUGAACUGCUGAAAAACCUGGCAGAAAUAGAACUUUGACAACGCAGAAAGCAUUGGAAGUCCAGUGGAAAAAUAAAACAAUUUUGCUGAAAUUAGCUUCA